RNAcentral lists this ribosomal RNA (253 nucleotides) under uncultured bacterium. RNAcentral's name for it is "partial 16S ribosomal RNA". It matches the Rfam family "Bacterial small subunit ribosomal RNA", at positions 524 to 776 of the family's 1533-position model. The record is from RNAcentral.
UACGUAGGGUGCGAGCGUUGUCCGGAAUUAUUGGGCGUAAAGGGCUCGUAGGCGGUUUGUCGCGUCGGGAGUGAAAACCUCGGGCUUAACUCGGGGCUUGCUUUCGAUACGGGCAGACUGGAGGUAUGCAGGGGAGAACGGAAUUCCUGGUGUAGCGGUGAAAUGCGCAGAUAUCAGGAGGAACACCGAUGGCGAAGGCAGGUCUCUGGGCAUUAACUGACGCUGAGGAGCGAAAGCAUGGGGAGCGAACAGG